Perognathus longimembris pacificus (Pacific pocket mouse) is the source of this 400-nucleotide long non-coding RNA. RefSeq lists it as uncharacterized. The record is from RefSeq and is a predicted model, not a curated record. NCBI's taxonomy places the organism in Eukaryota, Metazoa, Chordata, Mammalia, Rodentia, Heteromyidae. The transcript is spliced from 3 exons.
CCUAUCUCAGGGUUCUUUUCAGGCAGAAGAAGAGAAGAAAGCCUUUCUCCUGUUUCACUGUUAAUGCUGAUGCCGACUCCUUUCUUUGGUGUUAACCUUUCAAGAAUUCCAAUUGUUAUUUCAUUCUGUUACAGACUUCAUUCUCUACAUUGGUUGCAAUUUGUACUUGAACUAAUUCCCACAAAACAUCUACUUUUCCUUUUCUACAUUUGCUGUAUAAUCUAAUACAAUUUUUGAUAGAGUAAACCUCCAGAUGUGAUUAAAUUGGUACAGAAAGACUGCAGCCCUAACACACACAAACACUUAGGCACACACUGUUAUAGACUAAAAUUAAGAGGUACAUUUCUUCUUGUUAAACUCCCAUUUUCCCUCCCUUAUUUCACGCUUCACUCUAUUUCUU